This 22-nucleotide microRNA is filed under the name Oikopleura dioica. RNAcentral's name for it is "odi-miR-31". Its record names the gene odi-miR-31. Lineage: Eukaryota; Metazoa; Chordata; Appendicularia; Copelata; Oikopleuridae. The record is from miRBase by way of RNAcentral.
AGGCAAGAUGCUGGCAUUGCUG